AUUAAAGCUUAUCAAGUCUAUUUUUACAUGAAAGAAACGGUGUAGGCAAAGGAAUUUUAUAUUUUGAGAUAUUUAAAUUUUAGUGAGACAGGGUCAGAAUGGUUUUUGAAGUCCCCUGUUCUAACUUUAGAAAAUCAUUAUAAAUUGUACAGAAAUAAUUAUAGGUCAUAAUUUAUAUGUUUAGAUUCCUUAGUGAGUCUAUUUUCAAAAUAAAUUAAUGGUAACCUUAUAUGAAUUCUGUACAAUUAGAUAUUUGAUUUUUAGCGCCAAGAGGUCAGAUCUGUCGAGCUGUGAAACAGGGGAUACUUUAAUGAAUAAACUGUACUAAUGUGCUAAGUAAAAAAUUCUGAAACUUUUAUGGUAAGUAGGAAUAUGAGUCUAGUUUCACAUAAAAUUUACGGAUUUAAAUUUUGAGUUUCGUAACUCAAGUUAUAAUUAAAUUAGUGACAGUUGCGCAGGUGGACAGUGUUGUUAUGAACAGUGAAUUUAAUUUUAAAAGCAAAUUUUUAUGCUCCGAAUCGGUAAGUUAAAUUGGAUGACAUCUCGUACUCGAUUCCGGAGAUGGUCUCGGGUAAGGGGUGUUACAU
This 587-nucleotide long non-coding RNA is filed under the name Gossypium barbadense (sea-island cotton). RNAcentral describes it as "long non-coding RNA (GBAR_LNC014453)". Lineage: Eukaryota; Viridiplantae; Streptophyta; Magnoliopsida; Malvales; Malvaceae. The record is from RNAcentral.